CGUUUGCUCCCCUGGCUUUCGCUCAUCAGUGUCAAUCUCGGUCCAGGAUGCCGCCUUCGCCACCGGUAUUCCUCCAGAUAUCUACGCAUUUCACCGCUACACCUGGAAUUCUGCAUCCCUCUCCCGAAUUCAAGCCAUCCAGUAUCAGACGCAGUUCCCAAGUUGAGCCUGGGGAUUUCACGUCUGACUUAGUUGGCCACCUACGAGCCCUUUACGCCCAGUAAUUCCGAACAACGCUUGCCCCCCCCGUAUUACCGCGGCUGCUGGCACGGAGUUAGCCGGGGCUUCCUUUAGCGGUACCGUCACCUCUGCGGAUUAUUCAGCCGCAAAGCAUUCGUCCCGCUCGACAGGAGUUUACGACCCGAAGAUCUUCAUCCUCCACGCGGCGUUGCGUCGUCAGGCUUGCGCCCAUUGCGAACAAUUCCCCACUGCUGCCUCCCGUAGGAGUCUGGGCCGUGUCUCAGUCCCAGUGUGUCCGUCCGCCCUCUCAGGCCGGAUACUGAUCGUCGCCUUGGUGAGCCAUUACCCCACCAACUAGCUAAUCAGGCGCGGGCCCCUCUUUAAGCGCCAGGUCUUGCGAUCCCCAGCUUUGAUUUCCGCUGUCUA
RNAcentral lists this ribosomal RNA (606 nucleotides) under uncultured soil bacterium. RNAcentral's name for it is "partial 16S ribosomal RNA". The record is from RNAcentral.